This 346-nucleotide ribosomal RNA is filed under the name uncultured bacterium. RNAcentral's name for it is "bacterial SSU rRNA". It matches the Rfam family "Bacterial small subunit ribosomal RNA", at positions 569 to 913 of the family's 1533-position model. The record is from RNAcentral.
ACGUAGGCGGUCCAGCAAGUGGGGAGUGAAAGCCCUCGGCUUAACCGAGGAAGUGCUUUCCAAACUACUGGACUUGAAUACUGGAGAGGGUCGCGGAAUUCCCGGUGUAGAGGUGAAAUUCGUAGAUAUCGGGAGGAACACCAGUGGCGAAGGCGGCGACCUGGACAGAUAUUGACGCUGAGGUGCGAAAGCGUGGGGGGCAAACAGGAUUAGAUACCCUGGUAGUCCACGCCGUAAACGAUGAGUGCUAGAUGUCGCGGGUAUUGACCCCUGCGGCGUCGAAGUUAACGCAUUAAGCACUCCGCCUGGGGAGUACGGCCGCAAGGCUAAAACUCAAAGGAAUCGA